Molecule: long non-coding RNA, 371 nt
Filed under: Chloebia gouldiae (Gouldian finch)
Lineage: Eukaryota; Metazoa; Chordata; Aves; Passeriformes; Passeridae
Description: Erythrura gouldiae (Gouldian finch) lncRNA (ENSEGOG00005004717.1)
Source: RNAcentral
CUAGUAUUUAGGUACUAGUGCAGCCUAGGCCCCUUUUCUCAGGGAUAGCCUAACAUCUGACCGCACCCUCUUUGCUUUUUAAAAAAUGCCUUUUCACUCUUUAAGAUAAAUCCUCUAUUAUACAAUCUGCCACUAAUUGUGUGUUAAGACUGUUUUUCUCUCGAAAGCUGAUGCAUCCUGCUCUCAACGUGGUUUAGAAAGUGGGCUGUUACAGUGCUGGAUUAAUAAAAGGGGCCUUUAUGGUUUGUGAAAGAAUAUCUCUGUGCUUAGGCAGGAAACUUUUUGAUCCACAGAAAAGCCAGACGACAUCUAGCAAUAUCGAUAUGGAACAGCCUUUUCGCACCUUCCCUGCCCCCUGCCCCCAGCCUUGA